Non-coding RNA from Oryza sativa Japonica Group (Japanese rice), 949 nucleotides. Lineage: Eukaryota; Viridiplantae; Streptophyta; Magnoliopsida; Poales; Poaceae. The record is from RefSeq and is a predicted model, not a curated record.
AUGGUGGCAGCAUGCGGAUGGGGAUGGCGAUGGGCGAGGCGUACGUCGGGGGGCAGGCAGCCGGGUGGUGGCCGCGGGCCGGCGGCGGCGCAGGCGCUGGGGGCGGUGGUGCAGCUGCACUUCGACCCGCCGCUGGCGCCGCCGCGGGCGGCGGACGCGCAGAAGCAGGAGCUGUGGCGCCUCUUCCUCGCCUUCUUCCUCUUCCUCGCCAUCCUCCUCUCCGCCGUCGCACCAAGUCCCCGCCGAGUCCCGCCUCCAUGUGCCGCCACCUUCUGGCCCCCGCCGGCCUCCUCUCCCUCGCCCACCUCGCCUUCUACGCCGCCGUCGCACACCACCUCCGAUGCCUCAACGGAUUCAGGUACCAGCGGCGUUGCCACAAGCUGACCCUGGCGCUGGCGGCGGACAGGCUGCGGAUGCUCAAGUCCGGCGGCGACGUGGUGGCGGCCGCCGACGUGGAGGUGCCGUACCAGGAGCCGCCCGAGAGCUACCUGGCCAAGUUCAAGCGCAGCUGGGCCAUCCACUUCGCCUUCCUCAUCACCACCUUCGCCUUCUCCGUCGCCGCCGCCGUCGCCAUCCUCUGCUUCUAGCUCUCAGAUCUCCUCUCAACUGGACUACUCCUCCAAUCCAAUCUUACUAGUAGGAGAUUUUGAUUGAUCAUCAGAUCAGAUGAUGGAAGAGUCGUUCGUUGUUUAUCUCUACUGUAAUCCCUCCCUCUCUUUCUCUUUCUUGUCGUAUUCAUUGUGAUUUAUUAGUAGAAUGUUCUAUGUUAAUUGCCCUUCAGCGAGAGGCCCUCACAUGCAUUAUCUCAAUUGUCAGCCAGUGUCACAUUCACUCGCUCAAAUCGCGGCAGCAGCCAGCAGCCACUGUGGCAAAAGCAACUGUAUUUAUCCUUAACUACAGUAUCUAGUACUAUGAUCUCUCUUGGAGAUUGGUUAGUUUGUGAGUAAAA